Molecule: ribosomal RNA, 492 nt
Filed under: uncultured bacterium
Lineage: Bacteria
Description: partial 16S ribosomal RNA
Rfam family: Bacterial small subunit ribosomal RNA
Source: RNAcentral
AGUGAACGCUGGCGGUAGGCCUAACACAUGCAAGUCGAACGGCAGCACAGUAAGAGCUUGCUCUUACGGGUGGCGAGUGGCGGACGAGUGAGGAAUACAUCGGAAUCUACUUUUUCGUGGGGGAUAACGUGGGGAAACUUACGCUAAUACCGCAUACGACCUACGGGUGAAAGCAGGGGAUCUUCGGACCUUGCGCGAUUGAAUGAGCCGAUGUCGGAUUAGCUAGUUGGCGGGGUAAAGGCCCACCAAGGCGACGAUCCGUAGCUGGUCUGAGAGGAUGAUCAGCCACACUGGAACUGAGACACGGUCCAGACUCCUACGGGAGGCAGCAGUGGGGAAUAUUGGACAAUGGGCGCAAGCCUGAUCCAGCCAUACCGCGUGGGUGAAGAAGGCCUUCGGGUUGUAAAGCCCUUUUGUUGGGAAAGAAAAGCAGCAGGUUAAUACCCCGCUGUUCUGACGGUACCCAAAGAAUAAGCACCGGCUAACUUCGUG